GACGAACGCUGGCGGCGUGCUUAACACAUGCAAGUCGAACGGAAAGGCCCUGCUUUUGUGGGGUGCUCGAGUGGCGAACGGGUGAGUAACACGUGAGUAACCUGCCCUUGACUUUGGGAUAACUUCAGGAAACUGGGGCUAAUACCGGAUAGGAGCUCCUGCUGCAUGGUGGGGGUUGGAAAGUCUCGGCGGUUGGGGAUGGACUCGCGGCUUAUCAGCUUGUUGGUGGGGUAGUGGCUUACCAAGGCUUUGACGGGUAGCCGGCCUGAGAGGGUGACCGGCCACAAUGGGACUGAGAUACGGCCCAGGCUCCUACGGGAGGCAGCGGUGGGGAGUAGUGCACAAUGGGCGGAAGCCUGAUGCAGCAACGCCGCGUGCGGGAUGACGGCCUUCGAGUUAUAAACCGCUUUCGCCUGUGACGAAGCGUGAGUGACGGUAAUGGGUAAAGAAGCACCGGCUAACUACGUG
This 468-nucleotide ribosomal RNA is filed under the name uncultured bacterium. RNAcentral's name for it is "partial 16S ribosomal RNA". It matches the Rfam family "Bacterial small subunit ribosomal RNA", at positions 28 to 507 of the family's 1533-position model. The record is from RNAcentral.